GGCUUUUUGAUAAUAAUUUAAGGUCUAGCCUGCCCAAUGAUGAAGUAUUAAAUGGCCGCGGUAUCUUGACCGUGCAAAGGUAGCAUAAUCAUUAGUUUUUUAAUUGGAAGCUUGUAUGAAAGGUUUAAUGAAAAAAUAGCUGUCUCUAUUUUAAUUUUUUAGAAAUUUAUUUUUAAGUUAAAAAGCUUAAAUGAGUAUUAAAGACGAGAAGACCCUAUAGAGUUUUAUAAUUUUAUGAAAUUAUUAUAUUUUGGGAUUUUUUAAUAAUUUUUUGAGAUUAUUUGGUUGGGGUGAUUGAAAAAUUGAUAAAACUUUUUUGUUAGGAUUUCAUUGAUUUGUGAGUUUUUGAUCUUUAUUAAAGGUUAAUAAAUAAAAUUACCUUAGGGAUAACAGCGUAAUUUUUUUUAGAGUUCUUAUCGAAAAAAAAGAUUGCGACCUCGAUGUUGGAUUAAAAUUAAUUAUUGGUGUAGAAGCUAAUAGGUUAGGUCUGUUCGACCUUUAAAUUUUUACAUGAUCUGAGUUUAAACCGGUGUGA
Molecule: ribosomal RNA, 535 nt
Filed under: Echinodera roudieri
Lineage: Eukaryota; Metazoa; Arthropoda; Insecta; Coleoptera; Curculionidae
Description: partial 16S ribosomal RNA
Rfam family: Bacterial large subunit ribosomal RNA
Source: RNAcentral